Molecule: long non-coding RNA, 1891 nt
Filed under: Salmo salar (Atlantic salmon)
Lineage: Eukaryota; Metazoa; Chordata; Actinopteri; Salmoniformes; Salmonidae
Description: lncRNA (ENSSSAG00000107711.1)
Source: RNAcentral
CGCUUGGCUAUGAUUUGUAUAACAAAACACUAUAUCAUUAUUUGAAGUUAGAUUUUUUUGCUAGUUUGUAAGUGAAAUAUUUACCUCUUGAUAUGUAGGGUAGACCUGGCAUUGAUGGGAAGAGAGGUCUGGCUGGAAAAGAUGGAGAGCAAGGACAAAGAGGAGAUGAUGGCAAAAAGGGUGAUACAGGUGAAACUGGAACUGAUGGUAAAAAAGGGGAAUUGGGUGCUCCGGGCCUGCCUGGUACCCAUGUUCUGGUUACUCAACAGGAGGGUGCCACCCUUGAAGAGAUGCGACAGGCAUUCCCUUUGCCAAUGGGACCUCCUGGGGCUAAAGGUCCACCAGGGAUGAAGGGUGACGCUGGUCUUCCAGGGGAAGCAGCUGACAUGAAGAACAUUGAAGUCAUGUUUGAAGACUAUGGCAUAAGGCUGCCCUUGCUGAAGGCACUGAUUGACAGGCUGCUGCAGGACGGCAUGGUGGAGCUUCUGCAGGACCUAACCACCUCUAGGAGAGUCAAUGAGAAGGAGAAACACGGCUCCAACAUUAUCACUGACUACACAAGAACUGUAAAGUAUGAGAUCUCCAAGGAGCCUCUGACAGAGAUGGACACCAUAGAGGAGGCAGUUGACUCUGACUUAGACAGACAGCUACCAGAACCUAACUCUGAUGCUUUGGAUGAAACGGCGGAGGCCCCCACAUUCUGGAGCCUCACCACUCUUAAUGGUCUUAAAGGGGUCCAAGACGUGGGGAGGAUAGAGAGCACCUCUAAGGGGACAGAGGGGACACUGACAGUGGACGAGGAGUUCAGUGAAGCUCCCUCGCCCAAGUUGACUUUAUCAAACUCAACAUUUAACAACACUACGUCUGAAGAGAGGGUCUCUGAGGUACCAGGGGCAAUAGUAGAAACUGUUCUCCUCAGUGGGGAAGACUCCUUGAAGAAAAAGAAGAGUCGAGAACGGAAGGGCAAGGGACAGAAAGGACGACAUAAGAGGCAAAGAGAACGCCUGAUGAGUACGGAGGAGGAGGAGGAGGAAUUAUACGAUGGGGAAGAGUACAGUUAUGAAUAUGAGGAUUCCACAGAUGAUCCCUUACUGUCAAUGGAAAAGCAAGGGGAGUUUGAAAUCACAACAGAAAGCACACUACAUGGAAUGAGCAAAGAGAGUGGCCUGACAACUUUAGGUCCAUAUCCAUCCCAGUCACCGGGUGACAGUGAAAAGAAGGGGGAAUUCAUCACACCUAUCCUUCCCAGCACAACAGAAGAAACAGAGAAGGACCUUUCCUAAAUCCACAAAGAUUGAGACUGUAGAUUUGUAAGCACGGAGUGUUUGUAUAAACUGUGAAGUGAAGUGUAUCGCUGGUGAGGAGCAGUCUACCCUUAACCUGACCAGCAUAACAUGAGGAGGGACUUCGCUUCGUCGCGCAAUGAUGAUGUCAUUUGUCCAAUGUCACUCGUCCAAUGCCACUUCUAUGACCAGAAUCGUUUCUUAUACUUAGUCCAAGUACCUAAAAGAUGAACAAUACAUAGGUAAAGCUAAGUUAAAUCAAGACAGUGUAUUAUAUAACGAUUAUUCGACUAAUAAAUUCUUCCAUCAGAUGUCAGUGUUAUUUUAGCGUUGACUUUGCAUAAACUAAUUUAUUUAUUAAAGAAGUUCAAAAUGUUACAUUGGACCUAAGCUAUAGUAUAGCUUCUCUCUGUUGCUUCAGUAUUCCAACACUUUUUACCUCCUCGUAAUUUGUUCAACCAUAUUCUAAUGUUUUCAGUGUAUCGCUGCUUAUCAAUUCCUCAACCAAACGUUAUUUAUUGAAAACAUGGAAAUAGAUUGUAUUUUGUUCCUUUUCUGUAUUAGUUACUACUUUUUCCAAUGAAAUGUGUUUCCAUCAUAUUUUUCAG